Linepithema humile (Argentine ant) is the source of this 1219-nucleotide long non-coding RNA. RefSeq lists it as uncharacterized. NCBI's taxonomy places the organism in Eukaryota, Metazoa, Arthropoda, Insecta, Hymenoptera, Formicidae. The record is from RefSeq and is a predicted model, not a curated record.
UCUGUGAAAACUGCAUAUCAUUCUUCAACGGAUUUCAGACCGGACAUAGUCGGAAUGCUCCGCAAUAGAUUCUAAUCUCGUAUUUCUGGCGAUCGUUAUUGUCCAAAAGUGAAUUUUGCACAUGAUUGCGAGAUGUCGAUGGAAAUCACCUCCUCACGUUCCAGCUCUUUUCUGAUCAAAAUACAUAAAAAAUAUUAAUGCAUUAGGUGCUUAUCGAACUACAUUGAAAUGUGCUGUGACAGACUCGACCCUAUGUCUUCGCAUAUUUUAUGCGUUAUUUCUUCUCCGAGAUAAAAGUACAACGGAAACAUCGCUAGAAAAAGAAGGAUUGGCUCAGAACGGCGUAUACUUCGCAAGCGUUCUCGCAAAGCCGAACGGUGUUAGUGUGUCCUGUGUUAGUUUCCGCGACGUACCGGUUAUCGAGUAGAUCGUUCUCGAAGAGGAGAAAAAUAGACGGCGUUUUAAACAAACACGAACCGAUCGCGUUGCCGCCCAGCGUGGAAAUAAGAGCGACGCGGUGGGCAGCUGCGCGCGGGGGAUAAUCCGAAGAUGCAACAGGACUCCGAGGAAGGUGUAUCCCCAACUCUUCCUCUCAAGGGGGCCACAGCUCACAAUCUAAUUCCGAAAACGCCUCGUCGGCCCGAAAAGCGAGAACGGCGAACGAGAAUGUCGAAAGAACCGAUCCUGAAGACGUGCAACACGCUCACAGUCUUAGUUGCUGGCUUAAGUCGCGUUUUAUCCUCUCCGGUUACAAAGUCAGGAACAACGACUAUUGCUCCUCCCCGACCCUGCUCCUGCCCUGCACCAUCACGGACGAUCUACCUUCUCCGGUGGUGGCGACUCGUUAAUUUGUUUGCCGCCACGUUUAUUACAUCUGCUACGCUACGCCAGGCACAUCUGCGAUAUGGCCGCACAACGAUCGAAAGCGUAUUGUUUCCUGCCUCCCGGACGUCGCCGUCCACAUGUCUCGGAUUAAGGAAUGCUAAUCGAGAACCAUUCGUGCUCUGAAAAACAAGAUGGUGAUGUAAGAAAUUGAAAGAAGCCGUCGUUCGUACGGGAGUUCCGACGAGAAGGGAUGGAAAGAAGUGCGUGUGGUCGUGGUGGACAGCCGUUCUCAUACGAUAAUCUAGCGGAUAUGAACGAUUACGGAGAACGGCGAUAAAAUGCUUCAUUAAAUCACCUUGCUAUUAAACUCAUACUAAUUGGAAGAAAAGACAUA